AUGCUACUUGGGCCAACGGUCCCACUGAUUGCUGCUCUCUCUGCCUAUUGUGUUUUUCUUGGCUCCUCCCCGGUUGCCUGGAAGACCAAGAAGCAGACUGCUAUAUCUCUCUCCAGUGCGGAGGCUGAGCUGCGAGCUAUGGCGUCCAUGACUGCGGAAAUUACUUGGCUAUGGUGGCUUCUUCAGGAUUUUGGUGUUUCCAUUGCUGCACCGACCCCUCUGCUCUCCGACAGCACUGGGGCACUCAACAUUGCCCGUGAUCCUGUUAAGCAUGAUCUCACCAAGCACAUCGGUGUUGAUGCCUCCUACACGCGUUCUCAGGUGCAAGACAGAAUUGUGGCCCCUCAGUAUGUGCCCUCAGAGCUCCAGCUUGCUAAUUUUCUGACGAAAGCUCAGACACGGUCCCAAUACAGCUUUUUCCUAUCCAAACUCGGUGUCCAAGAUCCCCCUUGA
This 453-nucleotide ribosomal RNA is filed under the name Triticum aestivum (bread wheat). RNAcentral describes it as "partial small subunit ribosomal RNA". Lineage: Eukaryota; Viridiplantae; Streptophyta; Magnoliopsida; Poales; Poaceae. The record is from RNAcentral.